Girardinichthys multiradiatus is the source of this 493-nucleotide long non-coding RNA. RefSeq lists it as uncharacterized. The record is from RefSeq and is a predicted model, not a curated record. The transcript has 2 exons. Lineage: Eukaryota; Metazoa; Chordata; Actinopteri; Cyprinodontiformes; Goodeidae.
UCAGAGUCUCUAGUCAAAGUUUCUUACCUUUUGUGUGCUCUUUUCUAGGAAACUUGAAGUCCUGGUCUGUAGUUCCUGUCACUCUCUGUUCUGGCUCCAAGUCCUCAGUUUGGAUCUUGCCACAGCCAAAGUAUUCAAGCCUCAGGAGAAACCCAUUUUGGAUUAAGCCCCAGCUGACAGCUAAAGACUUUCAUCCCCAGGCUAGCGAAACCUGCUCACCCUCCACCAACUGACUAAUCCUCACCACGUAACUUUGUCUCUGAAACCAAUAUCUGGAUAAACUUAACUAUCAAAUACUCACCUGCAACCUCGCCAGAGCAUUCACCGCCUCCUUGGAAAAACUUCCCGGUUCCGCAGCAGCAUCAGGUCAAUCCUCCCAGACUCCACAUCACUCUCCACUCCAACCACCUCUUCAUCUAACAUGCUGUGCCUCCAGUCCCAGUCCCAGUUCCACAUUUCAUUCCUGAACAAUAAUAAAACUUGUUUAACUUUU